GAUGAACGCUGGCGGCGUGCUUAACACAUGCAAGUCGAACGGAAAGGCCCAAGCUUGCUUGGGUACUCGAGUGGCGAACGGGUGAGUAACACGUGGUGAUCUGCCCUGCACUUCGGGAUAAGCCUGGGAAACUGGGACUAAUACCGGAUAGGACGAUGGCUUGGAUGCCAUUGUGGAAAGUUUUUUCGGUGUGGGAUGAGCUCGCGGCCUAUCAGCUUGUUGGUGGGGUAAUGGCCUACCAAGGCGUCGACGGGUAGCCGGCCUGAGAGGGUGUACGGCCACAUUGGGACUGAGAUACGGCCCAGACUCCUACGGGAGGCAGCAGUGGGGAAUAUUGCACAAUGGGCGAAAGCCUGAUGCAGCGACGCCGCGUGGGGGAUGACGGCCUUCGGGUUGUAAACUCCUUUCGCUAGGGACGAAGCGUUUUUGUGACGGUACCUGGAGAAGAAGCACCGGCUAACUACGUG
Molecule: ribosomal RNA, 467 nt
Filed under: uncultured bacterium
Lineage: Bacteria
Description: partial 16S ribosomal RNA
Rfam family: Bacterial small subunit ribosomal RNA
Source: RNAcentral